RNAcentral lists this ribosomal RNA (1011 nucleotides) under Triticum aestivum (bread wheat). RNAcentral describes it as "partial small subunit ribosomal RNA". Lineage: Eukaryota; Viridiplantae; Streptophyta; Magnoliopsida; Poales; Poaceae. The record is from RNAcentral.
AUGGUCCACUGCCUUGCGGCACACCACCAUCAUUUCCAUGGCCUUCUCCUUCGCCUUCCUCCCUUCCUCGCCACCGCCCAUCAGGGACCUCACCGCUCGCUCCAGCUCCGCCGCCUCCACGAAGUUGUCCCGUUUCCUGUCCACCUUCAGCGGCACGGCCACGCCCAUGUCGCAGACCAACGUGAAGGCGUUGAAAUGCUGCUCCGCGCCCAGCGGCCAUGGCAGCAUCGGCACGCCGAACCACAGACUCUCCAGAAUGGAGUUCCAGCCGCAGUGGGUGACGAAGCCCCCCACGGAGGCGUGCGCCAGUAUCUCCUUCUGCGGCGCCCUCUUGGGCCACACGAGCCCUCUUUCCUUUGUCUCCCCCAAGAAACCCUCCGGGAGAAGCUCCGCCAGGUUCGCGUCGCUGGGGUCUUGUGCGCCGCGCGAGAUGUCCACCGGCAGCCCACGGAGCACCCACAGGAAGCGGUGGCCGCUGCGCUCCAGGCCCCGCGCUAUCUCGUGCGCCUGCGGCUUGGUCAGGAAUCCUUUGCUCCCGAAGCAGAGGAACAGCACGGACGCCGGAGGCUGCGCGUCGAGCCACCGCAGGCACUCGUGCGGCUGCUCCUCAGCCUCGGCGUGAGCGGGUGGCGUCAGCGCCAGCACUGGGCCGAUCGGGUACACGCCCGGGGCGCGGGCUCCACGUGUGCACCGACCUUCAGCGAUGGCUGCAAGGACGCGAGGCUCCAGCUCGGCUGCCGUGUUGACGAUGAUGCCGCUGGCUUCCACGUAGCGCCUGCCGGUGUACACGAACCACUUGUAGGUCGGACUCUUCCGUUCCAGCAAGGUCCCCGGGAGGACGGACGGCGGCACCGGCGGGAGGCCGGGCAAGUCGAGAGCACCUUCCAUCUCCUCGAACUCAACAACCACCUCGUCGUCCAGAGCGGGCGAGCGCAAGAGGAGCGACAGCAUCGCAGCGCUGGAGGUAAAGUACACGUACGCCGGCACGGCGAGCUCACGGGACACGUCUAG